UCUCAGUUCGGAUUGUAGGCUGCAACUCGCCUACAUGAAGUUGGAAUCGCUAGUAAUCGCGAAUCAGAAUGUCGCGGUGAAUACGUUCCCGGGUCUUGUACACACCGCCCGUCACACCACGAGAGUUUACAACACCCGAAGUCAGUGGCCUAACCGUAAGGAGGGAGCUGCCUAAGGUGGGGUAGAUGAUUGGGGUGAAGUCGUAACAAGGUAUC
Molecule: ribosomal RNA, 215 nt
Filed under: uncultured bacterium
Lineage: Bacteria
Description: partial 16S ribosomal RNA
Rfam family: Bacterial small subunit ribosomal RNA
Source: RNAcentral